Molecule: long non-coding RNA, 6913 nt
Filed under: Homo sapiens (human)
Lineage: Eukaryota; Metazoa; Chordata; Mammalia; Primates; Hominidae
Description: HSALNT0079897
Source: RNAcentral
GGAGUUCCUUGCUUAUUGCCUUCUCCUUUAUCUUCUAAAACCUUAUCUACCUCUUCUAGUUCUGAUGGAUUGCCCUCUUCUCUGAUGUUCAAAAUUAAGUUUAAAUUCUACUCUUCAGCACGUGGAAAGCAAGACCCCUGAGGGCGCAGGUUUUAGUCAACUUUCAUUCAGUGCCGCUUCUACAGAGUUGAACACUUUCCGGUACAUUAAAUGCUCUCGCUUUGUUAAAGAAGCCAAAACAAAACAAAACAAACAAACAAACAAACAAACAAAACUAAUGUGUUUGGAACCAGGACUUCAUUUGCUACUCUGCUGUAUCACAAUUUUACUAUUACAUUGUGUCCUUACUUUGCACUAUUGGACAAUAUGCCAUCAAAAAUAACUGAUUUAUUGAUUGAAUAUCUAAGAAGCAUAAAGAUGAUAUAAAUUUUUAUAUAGAAUGACCUAUCAUAAUAUCCUUUUUCCAUUUGGAGUUACAAAACCAAGUAUAUGAUUUCUUUUGAGGAUUUGAAGUACUUUUAUCCCAUAUGCAUAAUAUAUAAAAGUUAAUUUUGCAAAUUUUUGCUUCAUAAUAAUUAGUCAUUAUGUAUCUAAAUGAUAGCUAGAAAUAUGUAGAACUUUUAGUGAUGAUGAUUAUUUUUUACUUCUCUCUCCCUUCUUCUCUCUCUCUCUCUAACUCUCUGUCUCUGUCAUCAAAGCCAAAGUAUAUCAGUUUUGACAUGGCAGCUGUCCGGAGGGAUUUGCUCCCAAUCAUUUUGAUCUAACGUUCUUUGUCUAUGUGAUGACAAAGCAAUAGCAUGUUUUUCAUCAAAGGCAGGAAAUGCAUUAUUCUUUCUUUGAUCUCUAAAAAGGAUUUUGGGGUAGAAAGGUGAGAAGACAGACCUUAAAACAUUUCUUAAUGCUCUUAUCUAAAACUACACCACUUUAAUGAGAAAAGUUAAAUGUUUCUGAAAGCACAAUUCCAAAACGAAUAGGUCCUGAUUUUUAAAUUAAUUUUUAAAUCUUUAAAUUAAAAAAAAACACAAUUUCUCCCCUUUUAGAUGGGUAUGUAUCUCUACACCCCAAACUGGGGAUCCUUUACUCACUUUGACAUCUGAUACUGUAUUUUCAGCUUGAAAAUAAAUGAGAUCCUUGAAACUCACUACUAUCUCUUAAAAGGUGAUACCUUAUGUGUCCUUUUCUUCUGUCUUUCCUCUCACUUAGUUUGAAGCCCUGGUUGAACUAGGGAUUGUCUGUUCCAUUGCCUUCUUGUCUGUUCCAUGUCACCUUCAGUUUUCACCAUUGCACUCAUUUCUUCAGUUAGCUGACUUGAGUUUAGACCACAUUUUGCCUUGUACCCAAUUAAUUUCUUUUUCUUUUUCUUUUUCUUGCCGUGUGUAUAUGUGGGUGAAUGUGUGAGCUUGUGUCUGUGGGUAUAUCCCUUACCUGGUGAAUUCUCACUCUACUUCUCAACUCAGUUUUAAACACUUAAGGUUAGGUGCAACUUUUACUCUAUAUGUCAAGGAGAAGUUUUGAAAACCACAAAAAAGUUUUAAUUCUAUAAUUCGUUUAAUAUUUAUGUUGUGCAAUACACUACAGAAGCCAUUAUGAAAUGGAUCAUGUAUUUCUGGGCAAAACAGUUCCUUCAGGAAAACAUGACUUACAAGAUGAAACUAUAAUGCCAGGCAAUGGAUAGAAAGCAUCAUAUGUGUUCUAUAAAGUACCAAGGGGGGUUAGAUGAGGAGUAAAUAUUUUUUUAAAUCUUUAAGAUAACAAGUAGAUCAACAGGUAAGAGAAAUAUGAUGAACAACCUGAAGAGAAGUGAGAGUUUUAAAAAUAGGGAGUAUUUUUAAAUAGCUAAAUAUAUUGCAUCUAUAUGUAUAGUAUAGCUAAUGAGUUAAGUUGAGCAGGUCAUGAUGUUCCUUGAUUGCCAAGCAAAGACUUAUAAAGUUGAUUAGGCUAGCAAAAGGGAGCUUUAUGGUGAUGAAAAUUGUCACUUAUUCAGUUUAGCACUUUGAGGCUUUUGAUUUCAGAGUAUAAGCGUAUGAAGAGCAAAAAUAUUAGAGGCUAAGAAACCAGAUACAAGUGUUACUGGCAGUGAAUCCAUAUGGAUCUGCAGCAACCUCAAUUCUUGUAUCCUCAGAAGAAUUCAACCAAGGAGAAUAAGGCAGAGAGAGAGAGAGAGAGAGAGAGACCAAGGCAAGUUUUAGAGGAGGAGUGAAAGUUUAUUAAAAAGUUUUAGAUAGAGCAGGAAUGAAAUGAAGUAAGUACAUUUGGAAGAAAGCCAAGCCAGCGACUUGAGAGAUCAAGUGCACUUUUUGACUUUGACUUGGGGUUGUAUACGUCAGCAUGCUUCCGGGGGGUUGAGUCCCUUUGCCCUGAUUCUUCCCUUGGGAUCAGUUCUCUGAAUGUGCAGUGGCCUGCCAGCACUUGGGAAGGGCUGCAUGCACAGCGUUUUCUGAGUCUGUACACAUGCUUACUUGAGGCGUUUUUCUUUGACCAAUAGAAUGCCCCUAGAAGGUCAUAUACCAUUUGAACUCUGCCAUUUUUGCCUCUUAGUGCACAUGCAUGCGCCCACUUUCCCAGCUCCUGAGAUCUUAUUGGGAAGCUGCUGACCACCAGUUUCAGUUACAUGUUGCUGUUUAUUGAGAGACCGCCUUUCCCUGGCUCUGGCUGCAAACAGUUAUUAUUUCAGAGAGACAGUUAACAACCACCUGAGCAUCACCUGAUGGCUGUCUGCCACUCGUGUCCUGUUGUGUGUGUUGGGGGGUGGUGGGGAGCCCUGUCUUGCUCUGUUCAUGUCUGACUGGCUACCUACAGUGAAAAAAGAAUGUCAUGAUAAUCUAUGCAGGAUAUGACAACAGCCUGAUCCAUGGUAGAAAGAAGAUGUAAAAAAGGCCUGAGAAAUAUUUCAAAGUAAAUAUCAAAAGAACAACAGGUGGAAAAUAAGAAAAAUUAUGCCUUUGGAAUUCUGAGUCUGAAAACUAGGAUAAUGGUGGACCCAUGAAUAGAAUUUAAGAAAAGAACAAGUAAGCUAUGGAAGAUAGUGUCAUUCUUCUCAAUUUUUUUUCCUUCAGGUGUUGGAAUUUUUAUUUUUAUUUUAUUUUUUUCUUUUUAGACAGAAUUUCGCUGUUGUUGCCAGGCUGGAGUGCAAUGGCACAAUCUCGACUCACUGCAAGCUCCGCCUCCCUGGUUCAAGUGAUUCUCCUGCCUCAGCCUCCUGAUUAGCUGGGAUUAUAGGCAUGCACACCACGCUCGACUAAUUUUGUAUUUUUAGUAGAGAAGGGGUUUCUCCAUAUUGGUCAGGCUGGUCUUGAACUCCCAACCUCAGGUGAUCUGCCUGCCUCAGCCUCCCCAAGUGCUGAGAUUACAGGCAUGAGCCACCGUGCCUGGCCAGGUGUUAGAAUUUAUACUAAUUUUUUUCAGAACCUCCUUCUGAGGGUAGAGACACUUCCAAGCCAGGUGAAAGUGGGGUUUGACUUUGUGACUUGCUUUGGCAAUAGAUUGUGGGUGGAAAAUACCAAGAGAAAGUUCUCAGAUAAGGCCUUCACAGGCGUCAUGUGCUGCUCAUGCAUGCUGCAGUGCUCCUGUGAUCACCAUGAGAAGAGCGUGCCCUUUUAGCAUGGUCUGAUACCCUUUUACAAUGGUCUCUAAAUUCAGGCGUAUGAAGCAGAGUGGAGGAAAUCUAAAUCUUCCAAACUGAAAUGUAAAUGUAAGAGAGCUAUCCAAGCUCAUCUGCAGACCAAUAAGCAAGAAAAAGAAGUGCUUCUUUUAGUAAGUCCUUGUUUUAAGGUAAUUAGUCAUACUGCAUUAUUGAAGAAAUUGAUAAAUGAGUUCAUACUGAAUUUGAAGGUUUCAGAUGGAAAUAUAUUGAAAAUAAUUAAAAGGUUAAAAGAGAGUUAUGUCCUUGAGCUUACAGAUUUCAGAGUCAUGCUCAUAAAAUUUAUGGUUAAAGAGGAGACAGUAAAAAUCAAUAAAAUAAAAGGCUGACAAUUGAAUCAUUACUAUUAAUAGGACUAAGAAAAUGUAGUCAGUAAAGAAGAAAAAGAGAAAAAAUACUUUUGCAGCAUUCCCCAGUGGCAAACAGAAGUUCUAUUGAGAUAUGACCUUAGCUUCAAAUUCUAGGUCUGAAAUAUUUGACUUACAACCUCAAAUAAGUUACUAAAUGUCUAUUAGCAUGUUUUUUGUUUCAUCAGUAAAAUAGGAAUAAUAUUUAUUCUAUAUGGUUGUUCUAGAAUUUUAUAAUAUAUAUAAACUCUAGUGUAGUGACUGGCAUGAUAAUUUUUACUUAAACUUCAUUUUUGUCCAAUAGAUCUUUCUGUGAUUAAACUGUUUUAUAUCUGUACUAUAUAAUAUGGCAGCAGCUAACAAUAUGUGGGUAUUAAACAAUUAAAAUGUAACUACAUUGCAAGACUUUAAAUACAUGUAGAAUUUUAUAUAUGCAAUGAUAGCACAAAAAGGCAGUUUUAAAAUUUAAGUGUUCUAAAGUCAUUAAAUUUUUCAGUAUGUGGUAAAAGUACUAAUAUAUAUUGAGCUUUGAUAAAUCAAAAUGCAUUUUGAUUUUUAGGUAAUAACUACCAAGGGAUAAGUAAAAGGAGGUUUGACUUACAAAUUAAUGGAGGCAAUGAAACUUAAAAGUCACUAUUAUGGAAGGGUGAGGCCAGAGGAUCACUUGAGCCCAAGAGUUUGGGGUUACUUUGAGCCAUGAUUGCACCGUUUUACUCCAGCCUAGAUGACAGAGUGAGACCCUGCCUCAAAAAAUAAUAAAUAAACAGUAACAUUUUAAAAAAUUCAUUAAUGAACUAAAGAUAAGAAAAAAAACAAACAACAAAAAACCAGCAGGGAAAAAAAAAGCAAAGAAUAAAUACAUCAGUAUGUAAAUUAAAUGUAAAUGAAUUCAUUAUACCAAUUAAAAGACAAAGAUUAUCUGACCAACUGGAGACUUCUCAAAGAACUUAAAAUAGAACUACCAUUUGACCCAGCAAUCGUAUCACUAGAUACAUAUCCAAAGGAAAAUAAAUCAUUCUACAAAAAAGACACAUGCAGUCAGAUGUUCUUCAGAGCACUACUCACAAUAACAGACAUGGAAUUAACCUCGGUGCUCAUCAAGGGUGGAUUGAAUCAAGAAAAGUAAAGUGGCACAUACCCAACAUGGAAUAUGAUGCAGUCAUAAGAAACAACGAAAUCCUGUCUUUUGCAGCAACAAGAAAGCAGCAGAAACAAUCAUCCUAAGUGAAUUAACACAGGAACAGAAAACCAAAUACUGCAUGUUCUCACUUAUAAAUGGGACCUAAACACUGGGUAAACACGGACAUAAAUAUGGUAAAAAUGGUCACUGGGAACUACUAGAGGGAGGGGGGCAAGAGCUGAAAAACUGCCUAUUAAGUACUAUGCUCACUACAUGGGUGAUGGAAUCAUUUGUACCCCAAACCUCAGUGUCAUGCAGUAAAUUCAUGUAAUAAAUUUGUACAUGUAUCUCCUGAAUCUAAAAUAAAAAUUGAAAUUAUGUAUAUUUUUAAAAUACUUAAAUGAGCAAAAACAGUCUUGAAAACAAAAACAUUUGGAGAUUUCCCGACCUGAUUUCAAGCCUUCCUACAGUUUCAUAAAAAUUAAGACAGUGUAAUACCAAUGUAAAUAUAUUGAUCACAGAAGCAAGUAAAGUACAGAAAUAAUUGAGUCUCAACGACGGCAUCAAAGUAAUCCAAUGGGGUAAAAAAAAUUUUUUAACAAAUAGUGCUAAAAAAGUUUGAUACUUAGUCUUUUAUUUAAAAAAAAGAUAUUUGGCUCCUUAUUCCAUGCACAAAAUAUUAAUUUGAGACAAAUGAUAUGCCAAAAGAUAAUCACUAAAGCCAUAAAUGCUCUAGAAGAAAACUUAGGACACUAUCUUUCUUACUUUAAAUUGUCACAGAUUUUUUUAGGCAGAAUACACAGAAAUACUAACAACAAAAUAUUGAUAAUUUAGACUUCAUUAAAAUAUAAACGUCUGUGUUUUAAAAAAAUCACUAGAAAGUUAAUGGCAAGAUAGUCUGUUGAAAAUAUUCACAAUAUACUAGAUUUGACAAAAGACUCAUGCCCAGAAUAUAAAAAUAACCUAUUUAACUGUAAAGACAAUAUAAUAAAAAUAGUCAAAAUUCAAAAACAGAAGAUUAAAACUGGAAAAAAAGCAUAUUUAAAUAUGUUGAACAUCAUUGAUCAGUGGGUAAAUGCAAAUCAGUACCACCAUGAGAUAUCUCUUCAUUUCCUCUAGAAAUAAAAUUUAAAAGAAUGACAGCACAAAAUUGUUGGUAAGGAUAUGAAGGAGCUAGAACUCUCAUACAUUGCUUAUUGUAGAUCUAUUUGACCCAACAAUUCUCACCCAAAGAACUGAAAACCCAUGCCCACAAUAUUCUUAUACACAUGUUCAUAGCAUCUUUAUUCAUGAUAGUCCCAAAUUGAAACAACCCAAAUGUCUACCACCAGGAAUAUAAACAUCACUAAUAUGAUAUUAAACAAAAAUAGAAAAACAUGAAGAUAAAUUUUGUGUAGCAACAAAUAAUUUGUUGAGAGUAACAGCUGGAAAAGGAAAAGAGAGGAAGCAGGAUUGAGCAAAGGGAGUCCUCAGCGGAUGAUACAAAUCUGACUAAGCUUUGACCAACCCCGUGGGGCGCUCUAGAGCAAAGACUGGCAAUUAGUGCAACCCAGCUUUGAGUAGAAAUCACUUGGCCCUUGUACCACAAGCUUCUUCAGUAAUUGACUGAAGGAUAGUCCAAGAAAACUAUGUCCUUAAGCUACUGCCACCUGACUUAGUCAUUGUCUAGGGAUUGCCAAAUAUAGUGUGGCCUAGACUGAAAAGCCGAGACAGGCGAUGCAGAAGCUCACAACUAGAGGCUGGCAGCUAACCACAUUCCUUGCAGCUGGCAUGGAGCUCUUUCUGGAAGUGGUAUUUAAGCAACAC